GCAGCCGCGGUAAUACGGAGGAUGCGAGCGUUAUCCGGAUUUAUUGGGUUUAAAGGGAGCGUAGGUGGUCUGUUAAGCCAGCUGUGAAAUACUGUAGCUCAACUACAGCCGUGCAGUUGGAACUGGCAGACUUGAGUGCACUAGAGGAAGGUGGAAUUCGUGGUGUAGCGGUGAAAUGUUUAGAUAUCACGAAGAACUCCGAUUGCGAAGGCAGCCUUCUGGAGUGUAACUGACACUGAGGCUCGAAAGUGUGGGUAUCGAACAGGAUUAGAUACCCC
This 278-nucleotide ribosomal RNA is filed under the name uncultured Bacteroidales bacterium. RNAcentral describes it as "partial 16S ribosomal RNA". It matches the Rfam family "Bacterial small subunit ribosomal RNA", at positions 511 to 788 of the family's 1533-position model. The record is from RNAcentral. Lineage: Bacteria; Pseudomonadati; Bacteroidota; Bacteroidia; Bacteroidales.